GAUCAUGGCUCAGAUUGAACGCUGGCGGCAUGCCUUACACAUGCAAGUCGAACGGUAACGCGGGGGCAACCUGGCGACGAGUGGCGAACGGGUGAGUAAUGCAUCGGAACGUGCCUGGUAAUGGGGGAUAACUGCUCGAAAGAGCAGCUAAUACCGCAUACGACCUGAGGGUGAAAGGGGGGGAUCGCAAGACCUCCCGUUAUCAGAGCGGCCGAUGUCGGAUUAGCUAGUUGGUGGGGUAAAGGCCCACCAAGGCGACGAUCCGUAGCUGGUCUGAGAGGACGACCAGCCACACUGGGACUGAGACACGGCCCAGACUCCUACGGGAGGCAGCAGUGGGGAAUUUUGGACAAUGGACGCAAGUCUGAUCCAGCCAUGCCGUGUGCGGGAAGAAGGCCUUCGGGUUGUAAACUGCUUUUGUACGGAACGAAAAGGUCUCUAUUAAUACUAGGGGCUCAUGACGGUACCGUAAGAAUAAGCACCGGCUAACUACGUG
This 496-nucleotide ribosomal RNA is filed under the name uncultured bacterium. RNAcentral describes it as "bacterial SSU rRNA". It matches the Rfam family "Bacterial small subunit ribosomal RNA", at positions 15 to 507 of the family's 1533-position model. The record is from RNAcentral.